AACAACCGCCAUACGCCAUAAAGAAGGCGGGGAGCUCGAAGCGCGCGCGCCUCUCCGAGGGAUGGCGGCAAUCUCGAAGCAUCACUCCCUUCACCCGUUCCCCUUCUGGUUCCAGGCUCGGAAGUGGGGGGCUACUGUUACGGGGGAACUUAGCCACCAUGCCCCACGUGACCGGCAUGCGCGCCCAGGAAGACUACGGCAACCCCUUGAUCCAGCAAUCCGACCCCGAGUCGGACAUCUUCGGCUCCGCAGCCCGACCCCGAGUCGGCUGCCCCUUGAUCCAGCAAUCCGACCCCGAGUCGGAUAUCUUCG
RNAcentral lists this long non-coding RNA (312 nucleotides) under Phoenix dactylifera (date palm). RNAcentral describes it as "long non-coding RNA (PDAC_LNC021103)". The record is from RNAcentral. Lineage: Eukaryota; Viridiplantae; Streptophyta; Magnoliopsida; Arecales; Arecaceae.